UGAAAAGCAUAAAGAGGUGGCCCAUUAUUUGCAUGUCCAAUGUAAUGUUCUGUUAAAAAAGGAGGUCUCAGGGCUGUGAGGAAGUCCAUGAACACAUAGAAACUUCAAUUGUCACUGAGACUGAAGAAUGCUGACAGCAGUUUGGCUAAACAUUUUACCACCCACGAGACUCCUGGGAAGGUGUCCUGAUCAGUCUCUUGACCUACUCAUAUACUCCUGCUCUUCUUGAAAUCAUUGCCCUGGUCCAAGCCCUUGGACUCUAAGACUUCUAACUCUGAGGCAAGCUGGAGCUAAAUUCCACAAGAAAGUCCUGGAUUCAGUGGCUCUCCAAUGCAGCAGACAGAAAAU
RNAcentral lists this long non-coding RNA (348 nucleotides) under Crocodylus porosus (Australian saltwater crocodile). RNAcentral's name for it is "lncRNA (ENSCPRG00005002270.1)". Lineage: Eukaryota; Metazoa; Chordata; Crocodylia; Crocodylidae. The record is from RNAcentral.